This is a non-coding RNA of Gekko japonicus, 311 nucleotides long. The record is from the annotation of a RefSeq genome assembly. Lineage: Eukaryota; Metazoa; Chordata; Lepidosauria; Squamata; Gekkonidae.
GGGUUCAUUCUGAAGUUGUUUUGACCCAAAGGGGUUCAGAGCUGAAGAGGCCUGGCGAGUCUGUUCAGCUGACAUGUGCCACAAGAGGGUUUAUUAUAACCGACUGGUGGAUGGAAUGGGUCAGACAAAAGCCAGGAGAGGGCCUGGAAUGGCUAGUACACUACUGGAAAUCUUCUAAAACCAACUACUAUUCCCCCACCAUUCAUGGACGCUUCACAGCCUCCAAGGAUAGCACCAAUUUUUAUUUCCAAAUGAGCAGCCUGAAAGUGGAGGACACAGCUGUGUAUUACUGCACAGCUGGCUCACGGUGA